AGGAUGAACGCUGGCGGUCUGCUUAACACAUGCAAGUCGAACGGGCGUAGCAAUACGUUAGUGGCGGACGGGUGAGUAACGCGUGAGAAUCUACCUUCAGGACGGAGACAACAGUUGGAAACGACUGCUAACCCCCGAUGUACCGAAAGGGCAAAUAUUUAUAGCCUGAAGAAGAGCUCGCGUCCGAUUAGCUAGUUGGAGAGGUAAAAGCUCACCAAGGCGACGAUCGGUAGCUGGUCUGAGAGGACGAUCAGCCACACUGGGACUGAGACACGGCCCAGACUCCUACGGGAGGCAGCAGUGGGGAAUUUUCCGCAAUGGGCGAAAGCCUGACGGAGCAAGACCGCGUGGGGGAAGAAGGCUCUUGGGUUGUAAAACCCCCUUUUCUCUGGGAAGAACGCAAUGACGGUACCAGAGGAAUCAGCAUCGGCUAACUCCGUGCCAGCAGCCGC
This 452-nucleotide ribosomal RNA is filed under the name uncultured bacterium. RNAcentral describes it as "SSU rRNA". It matches the Rfam family "Bacterial small subunit ribosomal RNA", at positions 26 to 518 of the family's 1533-position model. The record is from RNAcentral.